UACGUAGGGUGCGAGCGUUGUCCGGAAUUAUUGGGCGUAAAGGGCUCGUAGGCGGUUUGUCGCGUCGGGAGUGAAAACCAUGGGCUUAACUCAUGGCUUGCUUCCGAUACGGGCAGACUAGAGGUAUGCAGGGGAGAACGGAAUUCCUGGUGUAGCGGUGAAAUGCGCAGAUAUCAGGAGGAACACCGGUGGCGAAGGCGGUCCUCUGGGCAUUACCUGACGCUGAGGAGCGAAAGUGUGGGGAGCGAACAGG
Molecule: ribosomal RNA, 253 nt
Filed under: uncultured bacterium
Lineage: Bacteria
Description: partial 16S ribosomal RNA
Rfam family: Bacterial small subunit ribosomal RNA
Source: RNAcentral